GUCUAUGGACAUGCUACCCUGAACAAGCCUGAUGUCUGAUCUCGGAAGCUAAGCAGGGCUGGUUAGUACUUGGAUGGGAGACCACCUAGGAAGACCAGGUGCCGUAGGUG
Molecule: ribosomal RNA, 110 nt
Filed under: Pteropus alecto (black flying fox)
Lineage: Eukaryota; Metazoa; Chordata; Mammalia; Chiroptera; Pteropodidae
Source: RNAcentral